AACCCGGCCCUUUUCAGGGCCAACAAAUCGUCUUAAAAGAGCUGU
Non-coding RNA from Branchiostoma floridae (Florida lancelet), 45 nucleotides. The record is from Rfam. NCBI's taxonomy places the organism in Eukaryota, Metazoa, Chordata, Leptocardii, Amphioxiformes, Branchiostomatidae.